GGAAUUAAAACUAAGUAAUUAAGAAUUAUUCGUGGAUUAAGUGGAGUUAAGGAAAUAGAUUAUGAACAUGGGCCAGGGGUAAGAUCCUAGAUGGAGGGUGUGAAUUGGGAACAACAUACGUGGGCCCUUUGGCCCAAGUCUCCAAACCCGGAUCCACCAUGGAUCAAAAAUCUGACUUCAGCAUCCCAAAACUUCUCACGAUUCACACGAAAAGCGGAGAAGAACGAACGCUCGUGACGAAAAAUAAGAAGAGAAGGAAAGAACGCGUUCAUGUCGAAAAUGGCUUACCCUCACCGUCGGCACCUGAAUCACCUUCGCGAUCCACUUGAAUCUUCGUGCAAGGUUCAUGUUUUGCUGCCCGUUGUGGAUUUGUUCUUCUGCUUCGUCGUGCGUGUGCGCUGUGUUGGGCAAAUGCUGAAGAUGAUUUCGUGUUUUCACGUUGUCGAUUGAAGCUGAAGACGAAGAUCCGUUCAGAUUAGUGCGUUGAGAUGAACUGGUAUGUUGUUGUUGUCCGAUUCGGAAUUACGUUACGUCCGCGUCGUCGUUGUUGAUUCUUCGGUUGGCCGUUGAUGAUGAAUUAUGAAACUCUAUCUUCCACGAUGCGGUGAGUUUUUUUUCACUCUCUUUGCUACCUUCGUUUUCGUUUUUUCUUCUUCAAUUUUCUGUUUUUGUUCUUCUCUGAGUUGUUGCGGUUUUGGCCAUAAAGUUGAGUUUGAGGAGUGGAUUGGUUAUGACGAUUGAAGGUUGUGGAUGAAAGUUCUGUUGGAGAUAAUGGUUGGUUAUCGGAUUCUGCAGGGUUGUUGAAGAAUGAUAAUCUGUUAUGAAAAGUUUUUGUGCAGGGUCUUGAGGUGGUUAGAGGUUAUAUGGUGAUUGAAGAUUAGGGGAGGGAAUUCAGUUGAAGAGGGUUUCGGUAAGACUAUUAUAGGUUCUGGUUCAGUUCAGUUAGGAGGGUUGUUAGAAGUUGUGUGAAGGAGAAGGAUGGAGGAGCGUUGGUUCAGAAUUGUUUAUGACAGUUGGUUUUUACCAGGUGAGUGAAUUCAGUUAGAUUGAUUUUUGUAACAGUUGGAGGUUCUGUGAUGGAAAACGAUUAUCAGUUGAUUUGGAGGUUAUUUCAGGUUUUAUGUGCAGUUUCUGUAGGAAGGUGCCUUAGUGGUUGGAGAGUUUCGGUUGAGUUUGGAUUGGAGAAAGUAGUGACUUGGUUGAGAGUUUUUGCAGGUGGCCAGAAUUCUGUUGUUGGUUAUUUGAUGUUGAAGUGAGAAUGAAUCAGUUCAAUUCUUGUUGUUAGUGUCUUACUAAUGCCGUAAGAAGUCAAUCAUGUUGCUGUUAAUGAUUGUUAGUUUGUGAACGAAUACAUAUGACAGUCGGUUGAAAAUUGUAUGCGGACUACUUUAAACUUCUGUUAUGCAAAUGGAUUUGGCCCUACUAGAUGUUACUUUUGUCAUGCUAUGUUAGUUACAACAUUUCCGUUAUUAUUGUUAUGCAGGUUAUAUUGGGCUACUAUUUCUAUACUGAGUUUUCUCAUGGCCGAUGUAAUGCAAGUGUUUGGUCAGUUGGACGUUGUCGGAAAGAAGUUUCUUAUUCUAUUGUGAGGUACGUUUAAAUGCUAUGCGUUGCCAUGACCUUUGUUAAUUGGCCUGCUGUUACUGAAUUGGUUGCGAAUAUGUUUUACAUCUAGGCUACUGUCAUGACAUGCUUGUGUCUCACUUGCCAUGCUAUUGGACUGCAUUUUCUAUUUAUGCAAGUUUGAGUCCCGUUCCAUUACUUGCAGAUUGUGGUUUGCGAAUCUGUUUAUGUAUGUGUAACAAGUGGUUCUGAACUUUGUUAGCUUAUGUUGUUUAGAAAAUUCUAUGAGCUUUCCCUUGUGAAAUUCUGUUGACAAUUGGUUCUGUUUGGAUGUGAUUUUCGGUUUUGUUGUAGGUGAUGGUUUAAUGUCGGAGUAAAGACUUUGUGUUGGACGUUCAUGGUAUCGGUUGCAUUAAAGUGCAUCAUUGGAAUGGGAAUGUCAUGGAGCUGACUUGGAUUCAAUGGACUGUAUUUUUUUCUCGGGACAUGUUGUAAACUUGACAGGUUAUAACUUGGAAUUGAUUGUAAUUGGAACCAUGUACAAUUUGGAAUGGAUUUGUAUGGUGAAGGUUGUAUUUAAUUUGGGAUUCCAAUUGUAUGGAAUUAAUUGUGUAUGAAAUGAUGUAAUUGAAUGGAAUAACAUGUAAUCGGAUAAAUUUGUACCGUAACGUGAAUUUGGUUGAAGUAUUUGUAAAUAUUGUAACUUGUAAUCAAUGGUUGAAUGUAAUUGAAAUCUGAUGAUUUGAAAUUGAUUUGAAUGGAAUUGAAUGUAUAUAUUAUUUUAUGGAAAUGUAGGACAUGGUUUGAAUAUAUGGUGUAAAAAUGAAAGAUGAGUGGAUUUUGGAAUGAAUCACGG
RNAcentral lists this long non-coding RNA (2419 nucleotides) under Lathyrus oleraceus (garden pea). RNAcentral describes it as "Pisum sativum (pea) long non-coding RNA (PSAT_LNC030828)". Lineage: Eukaryota; Viridiplantae; Streptophyta; Magnoliopsida; Fabales; Fabaceae. The record is from RNAcentral.